AGUCGUUAUGGCUCAGAUUGAACGCUGGCGGGAUGUUUUACACAUGCAAGUCGAACGGCAGCACGGACUUCGGUCUGGUGGCGAGUGGCGAACGGGUGAGUAAUGUAUCGGAACGUGCCUAGUAGCGGGGAUAACUACGCGAAAGGUAGCUAAUACCGCAUACGCCCUUCGGGGGAAAGCGGGGGACCUUCGGGCCUCGCACUAUUAGAGCGGCCGAUAUCGGAUUAGCUAGUUGGUGGGGUAACGGCUCACCAAGGCGACGAUCCGUAGCUGGUUUGAGGACGACCAGCCACACUGGGACUGAGACACGGCCCAGACUCCCUACGGGAGGCAGCAGGGGGAAUUUUGGACAAUGGGAAACCCUGAUCCAGCCAUCCUGCGUGUGCGAUGAAGGCCUUCGGGUUGUAAAGCACUUUUGGCAGGAAAGAAAACGGCACGGGAUAAUACCCCGUGCAACUGACGGUACCUGCAGAAUAAGCACCGGCUAACUACGUGCCAGCAGCCGCGGUAAUACGUAGGGUGCAAGCGUUAAUCGGAAUUACUGGGCGAAGCGUGCGCAGGUGGCUCCGAAAAAGAAAGAUGUGAAAUCCCAGAGCUUAACUUUGGAACUGCAUUUUUAACUACCGAGCUAGAGUGUGUCAGAGGGGAGGUGGAAUUCGCGUGUAGCAGUGAAAUGCGUAGAUAUGCGGAGGAACACCGAUGGCGAAGGCAGCCUCCUGGGAUAACACCAUCGCUCGCGCACGAAAGCGUGGGGAGCAAACAGGAUUAGAUAAUUCUGGUAGUCCACGCCCUAAACGAUGUCAACUAGCUGUUGGGGCCUUGGUAGCGGUGAAGUUGACCGCCUGGGGAGUACGGUCGCAAGAUUAAAACUCAAAGGAAUUGACGGGGACCCGCACAAGCGGUGGAUGAUGUGGAUUAAUUCGAUGCAACGUGAAAAACCUUACCUACCCUUGACAUGUCUGGAAUCCCGAAGAGAUUUGGGAGUGUCGCAAGAGAACCGGAACACAGGUGCUGCAUGGCUGUCGUCAGCUCGUGUCGUGAGAUGUUGCUAAGUCCCGCAACGAGCGCAACCCUUGUCAUUAGUUGCUACGAAAGGGCACUCUUAAUGAGACUGCCGGUGACAAACCGGAGGAAGGUGGGGAUGACGUCAAGUCCUCAUGGCCCUUAUGGGUAGGGCUUCACACGUCAUACAAUGGUCGGGACAGAGGGUCGCCAACCCGCGAGGGGGAGCCAAUCCCAGAAACCCGAUCGUAGUCCGGAUCGCAGUCUGCAACUCGACUGCGUGAAGUCGGAAUCGCUAGUAAUCGCGGAUCAGCAUGUCGCGGUGAAUACGUUCCCGGGUCUUGUACACACCGCCCGCCACACCAUGGGAGUGGGUUUUACCAGUAUGCAGUUAGCCUAACCGUAAGGAGGGCGAUUACCACGGUAGGAUUCAUGACUGGGGUGAAGUCGUAACAAGGUAG
RNAcentral lists this ribosomal RNA (1463 nucleotides) under uncultured Bordetella sp. RNAcentral describes it as "partial 16S-23S ribosomal RNA intergenic spacer". It matches the Rfam family "Bacterial small subunit ribosomal RNA". Lineage: Bacteria; Pseudomonadati; Pseudomonadota; Betaproteobacteria; Burkholderiales; Alcaligenaceae. The record is from RNAcentral.